GAUGAACGCUAGCGGCAGGCCUAAUACAUGCAAGUCGAACGGGAUUGAGGAGCUUGCUCCUCAUGAGAGUGGCGCACGGGUGCGUAACACGUAUGUAACCUACCUUAAUCAGGGGAAUAGCCUCUCGAAAGAGAGAUUAAGACCGCAUAAAAUCACACUAUGGCAUCAUAGAAUGAUCAAAUAUUUAUAGGAUUAAGAUAGGCAUGCGGAACAUUAGCUAGUUGGUAAGGUAACGGCUUACCAAGGCUACGAUGUUUAGGGGAUCUGAGAGGAUGGCCCCCCACACUGGUACUGAGACACGGACCAGACUCCUACGGGAGGCAGCAGUAAGGAAUAUUGGUCAAUGGGCGGAAGCCUGAGCCAGCCAUGCCGCGUGCAGGAAGACGGCCCUACGGGUUGUAAACUGCUUUUGUACCGGAAUAAACCUACUUACGUGUAAGUAGCUGAAUGUACGGUAAGAAUAAGGAUCGGCUAACUCCGUGCCAGCAGCCGCCGCGG
Molecule: ribosomal RNA, 498 nt
Filed under: uncultured bacterium
Lineage: Bacteria
Description: partial 16S ribosomal RNA
Rfam family: Bacterial small subunit ribosomal RNA
Source: RNAcentral